Long non-coding RNA from Scophthalmus maximus (turbot), 3209 nucleotides. RefSeq lists it as uncharacterized. The record is from RefSeq and is a predicted model, not a curated record. Lineage: Eukaryota; Metazoa; Chordata; Actinopteri; Pleuronectiformes; Scophthalmidae. The transcript has 2 exons.
UGUCUAUCUAUUUAUCUGGAUAUAAUCGAUCUAUCUAUCUCUUGAUCUAUCGUGUUAUAAUCUAUCUAUCUAUCUGACACAAAAUAAAAAGAAAUGGGUGGAGAAGUAGGAGGAAGAAGACAAAAUAACACGCUGCCAUGCCACCAAUUUACAGUUAAUGACCAAUGUCAGCUGAUUUUAAAAAAAAAUCCAAAAAAACAUUUAUUCUUGGGCUGCAGAGGGAAUUGGCACCAGUAAUUAUUUUCAAGUUUUUUACCAACGUGAAAAUAAAUGUGGAGAAUUAUUUUUUGAAGUUUUGUGUCUGUUUGGAAAACAAAUAGGACUAAUUAUGGAUUCCACCACUUGUUGACAGCACUGUAAAAUUAUUGCAUAUGGUUCAUGUGAUUCCAGUUUCCUAUGUUUUUUGUUGUUGUUUUUGUUGUUUUUGUUUCAGGGUUGUUGUUGUUGUUGUCUUUCUUUUCUUUUUCUUUUUUUUCUUCCUGGCUGCUGGCAGCGGGCGCAGAUAGCACAUGAGUCGCUGUCAUCCCCGCGCGCAACAGUGGCGGACGGGUGGAACCGGAGGGAGCAGACUUGUUGCAGCCAUACGGCGGCGGCGGCGUCCCGGAGCUGGCAAACGCUGCGCACAGCGCGCACGGUCUCCAGUCUCCAGUCUCCAGUCUCCAGGCUCCAGUCUCCAGUCUCCAGUCUCCAGGCUCCAGUCUCCGGGCUCCAGGCUCCAGGCUCCAGUCUCCGGACUCCAGUCUCCAGGCUCCAGUCUCCGGGCUCCGGUCUCCGGGCUCCGGUCCGGUGGAGUGGAGCACACUGACCCGCCAGACAAACGACAAGAUCCACCGGAUUCAUCAUUCUCUGCUCCGUCGCCUCGCCUGAACUGGUCGUCCGUCUCUGCGCCUCCCGGAAGCCUGUUUCUUCUCUUCUUUUUUCUUUUUUUUUCUUUUUUGUUAACCAUGUUGAUCUUUUUUUUUUCGUUGUUUGUUUGUCACAUGGCUUUUGGAGAAUUCAAUAACAACAAAAAAUGGCGACAAUCACGUUGCUCCGUGUGGUCUGACUUGCUGCGUCAUUAAUUUUUUUUAAAUAUAUAUAUAGAUAUACAUAUCUAUAUAUCAACAUAAACACGGGGGGGGGGGGUCGAUCGUGGACGUCACAGGGUAAGUGAUCUUAUUAAGUCUUUAUUUCUUAUUUGCAGUGCACACUGGGUGUGAAUAAGAAUGUGACGAGCUGCGUUCGGAUCAGCAUGCUGUUUGUUUUUGCCCAGAAAAAGGGGUGUGUGUGUGUGUGUGUGUGUGUGUGAAAUGCUGGGGCGUUAACGUUUGGCUGCACAAUAUUCCAUACGGACAAUGCACUUGUUUUAUAAUUUUUUACCUUUACUCGGUUGUUUUCCAAGUAGAUAUGCAGAGUGUUGCCACGCGACACAUAAAGGGUGUGUGUGUGGGUGGUGGGGGGGGGGGGGGUUGUUUGUAUAUGGCCAACUUUAGUUUUCUUCCAGACAACAGCAUCGAGCACGAGCUCGUGUCUGCUCUGGCCUCUGCUUGGCCCUUAUGCUGCUUAUUGCCCACUGUCACAUUCACUGUUAAUAAGCUGUGAAUCAUUUCAGUUAUUUACAUCCAAGGUUUAUAUAACAGGGACGCUUCUUUUCUUUUUGUUUCUGUGCAGGCACGCGGGCGACACCUCAGCUCGGCCCUGACAGUGUGCCCCCCCCCCCCCCCCCCGUCCCUCUGCGGUCAUUGGCACAUGUCGCCGCGCUCUGCUUGUCCACGUAUGUGACACGGACAUUUUUGGACGGCGUGCUGCGCAGCGGGGUCUAAUGGAGUUGUUUACAAGAAGUGCAGAGGGCGGGCGGACUGACGAGGGGGAGGGGGAGGAGGAGGAGGAGGGGGAGGAGCCAGCGGCGCGACCCGACUGCUGGAGAGGAGCGACGAGGGGGCGGAGCCCGCGCGCAGGAUCAUAACAAGUCUGACGUCACUCGGAUUCACAGUAAAGAUCGCCGACGUCGAUCAAAUGUGGCGUGUGAAGACUUGCGCCGUCUAUCGACCGCGUGCCGUUCGGACGCAGGCAGAGGUUUUUUUGCGCGAAAUCAGUGCUGCAAUGAUCGGACGGGUUCGAUUGAUCGACCCGCCGGUCAACAGAAAAUGAUCUGUUCAUGGUUUUAGGACAAAAAGCUUCUUAUUUUUUAAGUUUGCUGCUUCUCGUGUAUAAAAAAAAAUACAUGUAAUGUCCCUCAGAUUUUGAUUUAGCAAAAGCAAAUGGAAAACAUCAAUGUUGGUGAGGAGUUUGGGGUUAAAUUUUAGUUUUAACUAUUUUUUUCUAACAUUUCAAAAAGCUAUGGCUAUUGGCUGACAAAUAACUGGCUUAUCAAGCUGUGUGGAUUUAAUACUACAUGAAAUAGAAUGUUUUAAGAGCAUUCAAGAUCAGUAUUGAAUGGAUUUCCAUGUGUGGUUCACAGCAUUAGACAAGAUGUGUUUGUUUUUUGGGCAACACACAUGUAACUGGGUGAUAAGAGUCCUCAGCUGCGUCAUAUUAAUGCCUAAGCAUCCAUAAACACAUUUACACCAUAUAUGGACAACAUAUUUUAAUAUUUUGCAUGAUGGAUAUAAUAGAUGAAACUACAUAAAUUGCCAGAAUUCCUCAUCAAUGUUCUGAUUUAACUUUUACCGCUUAGUGCUGAGCCAAUUUCACCAAAUACAGAUUUUGAAACGAACAGUAGAAUAUAAAAAACGAUACUGGAAAAUGCUGGACAGACAACUUGCACAUGUUCUGCAUGAGAUACACUGCCAAAUGAUCUGCGUACACGCGAAAAGCAAAACUUUUGUUAUCCUUGCACCUGUUGACCCAGAGCACGGAUAUUAUGGGUGGAUGACGAGUGCAGCGGAGCGGAGCGGAGCCACGGGGCUGCUAGAUUUCACAGGCUGCCCUGGUUCAGUUAUCACAGUGCUGAUGCUGUCCCCAUCGAAGGUACAGUACUGUGAUAACUGAAGGAUGGCUGCCAACUUGACACUAAGGGCAGUGGAUCCGGACACGUUCUGCUAAAGAGCCACGAGGGCCGGAUGUCGACACGUGUGAGUAUGUCAUUUGAAAAAAAAAAAAGUGGUAUGAUAUUUGUAAGUUAUUGUGUGUUUAAGGUGCAAGAAACUCAAAAGCUGUAUGUUUGUGCUAUGUUCAUUUCUCAUGUAACUUCUGCUCGACUACGAGAAAUAAAAAAUAUAUACAUUUCA